CGGCCACGGUAUCCUAACCGUGCGAAGGUAGCAUAAUCACUUGUUCUUUAAAUGGGGACUCGUAUCAACGGCACCACGAGGGUUAUACUGUCUCCUUUUUCUAAUCAGUGAAAUUAAUCUCCCCGUGAAGAAGCGGGGAUACCCCUAUAAGACGAGAAGACCCCAUGGAGCUUCAAACCCAACUACACCCCUAGUUUCUAUAACUCUCAACCCCCAGGGCCCUGUACAGUUGGUUUUAGGUUGGGGCGACCACGGAGUACAACAAAACCUCCACAAUGAAUGGGACCACCCCCCAUCUAAGAGCUACAACCCUAAGAAUUAGAACACUAACAUAAAAUGAUCCAUUAUUUGAUCAAUGAACCAAGUUACCCUGGGGAUAACAGCGCAAUCCAUUUCAAGAGCCCCUAUCGACAAAUGGGUUUACGACCUCGAUGUUGGAUCAGGGUGUCCUAGUGGUGCAGCAGCUACUGACGGUUCGUUUGUUCAACGAUU
This 492-nucleotide ribosomal RNA is filed under the name Mantidactylus brevipalmatus. RNAcentral describes it as "partial 16S ribosomal RNA". It matches the Rfam family "Bacterial large subunit ribosomal RNA", at positions 1928 to 2589 of the family's 2925-position model. The record is from RNAcentral. Lineage: Eukaryota; Metazoa; Chordata; Amphibia; Anura; Mantellidae.